This 303-nucleotide ribosomal RNA is filed under the name uncultured bacterium. RNAcentral's name for it is "partial 16S ribosomal RNA". It matches the Rfam family "Bacterial small subunit ribosomal RNA", at positions 507 to 807 of the family's 1533-position model. The record is from RNAcentral.
AGCAGUAGCCGCGGUAAUACGAAGGGGGCUAGCGUUGUUCGGAUUUACUGGGCGUAAAGCGCAUGUAGGCGGAUCGAUCAGUCAGGGGUGAAAUCCCAGAGCUCAACUCUGGAACUGCCUUUGAUACUGUCGAUCUGGAGUAUGGAAGAGGUGAGUGGAAUUCCGGGUGUAGAGGUGAAAUUCGUAGAUAUUCGGAGGAGCACCAGUGGCGAAGGCGGCUCACUGGUCCAUUACUGACGCUGAGGUGCGAAAGCGUGGGGAGCAAACAGGAUUAGAUACCCCCGUAGUCCCUGUCUCUUAUAC